AUUGAACGCUGGCGGCAUGCCUUACACAUGACAAGUCGAACGGUAACGGGCCUUCGGGUGCCGACGAGUGGCGAACGGGUGAGUAAUGUAUCGGAACGUACCUUUCAGUGGGGGAUAACGUAGCGAAAGUUACGCUAAUACCGCAUAUUCUGUGAGCAGGAAAGCAGGGGAUCGCAAGACCUUGCGCUGAUUGAGCGGCCGAUAUCAGAUUAGGUAGUUGGUGGGGUAAAGGCUCACCAAGCCAACGAUCUGUAGCUGGUCUGAGAGGACGACCAGCCACACUGGAACUGAGACACGGUCCAGACUCCUACGGGAGGCAGCAGUGGGGAAUUUUGGACAAUGGGCGCAAGCCUGAUCCAGCCAUUCCGCGUGCAGGAUGAAGGCCUUCGGGUUGUAAACUGCUUUUGUACGGAACGAAACGGUCUGCCCUAAUACGGCAGGCUAAUGACGGUACCGUAAGAAUAAGCACCGGCUAACUACGUG
This 483-nucleotide ribosomal RNA is filed under the name uncultured bacterium. Its description in RNAcentral is "bacterial SSU rRNA". It matches the Rfam family "Bacterial small subunit ribosomal RNA", at positions 30 to 507 of the family's 1533-position model. The record is from RNAcentral.